Molecule: long non-coding RNA, 1325 nt
Filed under: Eutrema salsugineum
Lineage: Eukaryota; Viridiplantae; Streptophyta; Magnoliopsida; Brassicales; Brassicaceae
Description: long non-coding RNA (ESAL_LNC001948)
Source: RNAcentral
UCAAAGGUUGACAAAUUAAAUCGAUCGAUAUAAGCGUCAAUUAAUCUAAACAAACCAAAAAGAGAACUUUUUCUCAUGUUUUCGUAUUUAAAUUGAUAUCAGUUUACAGGUACAAAGAUAUUAUACGAUCACUCUUCUAUUUCUCUAUCUCACAUCAAUUGAUUCUAACCAACUACACAAACGGACACCCACUAAAUAUGAGGCAAAAACCUUCUCUUCUACGUUUGUUUGUUUCUUUUUCUUUCCAUCGUUCCACUUCAAAUAUCAUUUUCUUAUUUUCCAAUGGUCAUCCAAAAUCGGCAAAAUAACUAUUUAGGGAGACAUUUAUUAAAGAUACAAAAAUGUUACUAAAUAUUUGCAGAAAGCGUUACAGCCUAUAUAUAUUCCUGUGAAAAUAAUUUCGGCUUGGCUUCCGGACUUGAAAUCCAAGAGUACACAAUUUAGAUGACUUUCGUACACUACAUUAACUAAGUCACAAGAUGUCAUUUGUUAAAAGCCCGACUUGAAAACUCAAAAUAGGAAGCAAUUCAACGUCGUUUUGAUUGCAUACCUUUAGAGAUAUCACUAACCUAUCAACCCCUACUGCUUUUGAUUUUUAAUAUGUCCUUAAGCUGAUCCGGUCCUGACCUAAGCUCCAAUAAACUGGCGCACUUCUAAGCAUCAUCAAACAUUAAUAUCAUUUUAAGGGCGCAUCAUCACUGGACAUGUAAACGGCUGAGAAAACAUAAUUAGAUGUAUUAAUUUGAUAUUAUUAAUUAUAUAUAUAUAUAUAUAUAUUCUUGUGUAUUCACUUGGUAUAUCAAUUACGUAUAUUUGACCAUUAUAUGUAUAAAAAAAAUAUUGUACGUAGAACACUUUUAAGAAGUCUCAAAAAAAAAUUUGGAGAAAUCAUAAGUGAUAAUUAUAAACCAAGAAGAGGAUAUAACAUUAUAUAUUCAUCAAUAGACGCAUAUAAGAAAAAGAAAAUUGACAGCAGAAAGAUCAAUCAAAUAGAAAUUGAUGCAUUCUCUCUUUAAAGAAGCUUUUUCUCAUCACUCUUUCUUUGUCUCACCCUCCUUGUGUUUCCCCUUCUUCGGCUUGACGAAACAGAAGCAUGAACAACAAGGCAGCUGAAACAAAAACUUCAUCCUGAUUUAUAAUUGCACCAACAGUACAUCGAUGUCUGCCUUUUAUAUUUGAGCUUCAUUGCAAAUGAUAUUAUUAUUUUCCACAUCCAAUUUCAGUUUCUUUUUGGGUUUUCUUUAUUCGUUUCUGCUUUUUGGAUGCUUUUCAAACCAAGUUGAUUCCCCAAGAUAAGAAGAUGCCUCUGCCUCACACAACUUAGC